This 520-nucleotide ribosomal RNA is filed under the name uncultured Glomeromycotina. RNAcentral's name for it is "SSU rRNA". It matches the Rfam family "Eukaryotic small subunit ribosomal RNA", at positions 569 to 1092 of the family's 1831-position model. The record is from RNAcentral. Lineage: Eukaryota; Fungi; Glomeromycota.
AGCAGCCGCGGUAAUUCCAGCUCCAAUAGCGUAUAUUAAAGUUGUUGCAGUUAAAAAGCUCGUAGUUGAAUUUCGGGGUUAGUAGAUUGGUCAUGCCUCCGGUAUGCACUGGUCUUACUGAUUCCUCCUUCCUGAUGAACCGUAAUGCCAUUAAUUUGGUGUUGCGGGGAAACUGGACUGUUACUUUGAAAAAUUAGAGUGUUUAAAGCAGGCUAACGCUUGAAUACAUUAGCAUGGAAUAAUGAAAUAGGACGUUCGAUCUUAUUUUGUUGGUUUCUAGGAUUGACGUAAUGAUUAAUAGGGAUAGUUGGGGGCAUUAGUAUUCAAUUGUCAGAGGUGAAAUUCUUGGAUUUAUUGAAGACUAACUACUGCGAAAGCAUUUGCCAAGGAUGUUUUCAUUAAUCAAGAACGAAAGUUAGGGGAUCGAAGACGAUCAGAUACCGUCGUAGUCUUAACCAUAAACUAUGCCGACUAGGGAUCGGAUGAUGUUAAUUUUUAAUGACUCAUUCGGCGCCUUACG